Coffea arabica (coffee) is the source of this 4445-nucleotide non-coding RNA. The record is from RefSeq and is a predicted model, not a curated record. NCBI's taxonomy places the organism in Eukaryota, Viridiplantae, Streptophyta, Magnoliopsida, Gentianales, Rubiaceae.
GUGUUGUCCCCGUCACAUUAACAAACGUACGCCUUUUUAAUCCUCUCCGUCUUAAAAGGCGUGCGUCGGAACCCUAAAUCCACAAUUCACGCCUUCACCAGAUUGUCCGCAAAAUUCAAAUACUUCACCGGCCGCCGGAGACAAUAUCCACAAGACAAAUCUGCAGAGAAUCGUUGGUUCUCUCAUUUUAGCGCUGCAGGUUCAACGCUGAAUAUGGAGGAACAUGAGCAGACCCAUGGUAAUCUGCCAGAAUUGGCACUGGGACUGGCAUCAAGUGAGGGUCCUGUACUCAGUUUGCAGGCUGAGCAUCGAUCUAGUGACAUAGAGAAAGGAAAGGAUUUGGCACCACUAACAUGUAGACGAGCUGAUAGGCAGUUUUGGAAAAUGAAGCCUUUGGAUGCGCGUGUGCUUCUUCAUCUUGCACAAGCAGGAUUUUAUGGUGUAUAUUGCAUUGGGCAAUUACCAUUAGAUCACUCGCUUAUCACCGCACUAGUUGAAAGAUGGAGAGAGGAGACACACACAUUCCAUUUUCCAGUUGGAGAGUGCACAAUCACAUUACAGGAUGUUGCAAUUCUUUUAGGACUGCCUAUAGAUGGUGAUCCAAUCACUUCACCAGAGUCUUCCAAGAAGAUGCAGGAAUGGCAGGCUCUGUGCCAGGAGUUAUUAGGAGUCACUCCUCCACCUAAAGAUUUUAAUGGUAAUCGACUUAGGCUUCGUUGUCUCAAUGAAAGGUUUAAGAGCCUUCCAUCAGAUGCUGAUGACACUGUAAUUUUAUGCCAUGCAAGAGCUCAUAUUUUGCGUAUGAUCGGUGGGUUAUUGUUCCCUGACAAAUCUCAGUCUAAGGUAAAACUCAUGUAUCUACCAUUCCUCAGAGAUUUAGAGGCAUGUGGGAAACUCAGCUGGGGGAGUGCUGUAUUAGCUUGCUUAUAUCGUGAAAUGUGUCGAGCUAGUAAGUCUAAAGCCAAGGAGAUUGGUGGUCCCCUCAUUUUGUUGCAGUUAUGGGCAUGGGAAAGGCUUUUGCCAUUUCGUUUGGAGAAAAAACUUCCAAGAUUGAAGCCACCAUAUACUGAAGAUGAGUCGAAUGGCUCUGAUCUUGUUGCUGUGGAGGAUGUUGAAGCUCUUGUUAUCAGUGAAAGAGACCAUGAUUUACCUGGGAAACCUUUAGGGAGUAGGUGGAAAGAGAGAUUCAGGCAUAAAAAAGGUGUUGCACACAAUCUGGAGCUUUACAGAAACCAGCUAGAUAGGCUAAAGGAGGGUGAGUUUAUAUGGAGACCUUACACUCCUGAAGUUACAGCACAAUUGCCAUCGUAUUGUUUGUCUGGUCAAGCAAUUUGGCAUACAGUGUCACCACUUAUAUGUUUUAGUAUAGUGGAGUGGCAUCUUCCAAACCGAGUAAUGCGUCAGUUUGGGCUUAAGCAGAUGAAGCCACCUAAUUGUGAUACUCGCAGGGACCUUCAUCGGACUGACAUGCGUGGAAGGGAAGGUUAUGACUUUGAAAAACUUCAUUUGCACCAUGUUUUGCUCUGGAGAGAUUGUAAUCAGCAUAUCAUUCAGGGAGAGCCAUUUGACGGAAUAAUGGCUGAUGAUGAUCCUUAUCUUGUGUGGUAUCGUGAGAUUACUCGCUUAAGGAUUGGGAAUCCAAGUCAGAAGCAAGAGGAAAGAUAUGUUGAGAAGGAAGACAUAAUCAAGUCAAUAGCAGAGACAAUUGUGAGCAUCUAUAAGAAAAGCGAUGGGACCAUCAAGGAAUUUAAUGAGGAUUUGGGGUUACAAUCACUUGUACAAAUUCGAAGGAUGUGCAUCAAUUCACUGGAGACAAUGCAGAAGCACCCUGGUCCAGCUGGACAUCUUGCAUCUGAGAUCGUAGUAUCAAGGUCAACACCAGCUCCCUCUUCUUCACAUAUGCCUUCCCGCAAGAGACACAGAGGCCUUGUUGCUCCAAGAUCUCCAAGGAAAUCAAGGAAGAAAAAUGUUAAUAAAGCUUCACCAAUUACACCUACUGAUAUAACUUUGCAUCCAUUACCAGAUGCUGCAUCAAUUUCAGUUCACUCACCACUUAGUGUUCUAGCAACCUCAGCAGUAGGAUUGUCACAGGAUCCUCCAGCAAUGCCUGUUGAUCCUCCAUCCCCAUCAAUGCGUAUUUAUUCUCCAUCUCCAUCAAUGCCUAUUGAUCCUCCAUCCCCAUCAGUGCCUAUUGAUCCUCCUGGCCCCUCAGUGCCUAUUGAUCCUCCUUCCCUCUCAGUGCCUAAUGAUCCUCCUUGUCCCUCAAUUUCUAUUGAUCCUCCAUCUCCGCCUGUGCCUAAUGAUCCUCGACCCCCACCAGUCCUUUGCCUUUCAAAAAAUAAGUCAAGCUUACCAGUUGUAUUUGGAGAACUUUCCUCCUCAGUUUUACCUCUUCCACAUUCUUGUCCACCUCUUCCCCUAUCAUGGCCUUCUAGUGGUCUUUUAACUCGUGAAUGGAUCAUGGAUUUGGAGAUUGCUCUUGAUUGGUCCUCUAGGAACAUGCCUCCUGAACAAUUUUCCUCUGUGGUUCCUGAAGAGGUAUUCAAUCAAUUGGUUUUAUCAGCAUCAACUAUCAUGUCUAAAGAGCCCAACUGCCUGAGAAUAGAUGGUGAAUUGGGAUUGAGCCCAGGAUCUAGGGUUGUAGUGGUUGGAGAUUUGCAUGGACAGCUGCAUGAUCUGCUAUUCUUGUUAAGAGAUGCUAAAUACCCUGAUGAUGAUAGAUUCUUUAUAUUCAAUGGGAAUUACGUGGACAUAGGAGCUUGGGGGCUCGAAACCUUUCUUAUCUUGUUGGCUUGGAAGGUCCUUUUCCCCAACAAGGUACACCUUCUACGUGGUAAUCAUGAGACCAAACUUUGUUCUAGCAAGCAUGGGUUCAAACAGGAAAUUUUGGUUAAAUAUGGGACCAAAGGAAAAGAUGUGUACCAAAAAUGUUUGAGUUGCUUUAUAAAGCUUCCUCUUUCUUCUGUCAUAGCUGGUAAAACAUAUGUUACACAUGGAGGACUCUUUCGUAGCAUCACUAAAGGAAAGAAGAGUAAAACUUCAGUAGAUGACCUGAAGGAGAUUGGCUCUUUAGAGGACCUAUCGAAAAUAAGAAGAUUCGUCCUAGAUCCUCCUUUAAAUGGUAAGAACGCAAUUAUUGGUGAUAUAUUGUGGUCUGCCCCGUCAAUGAGCCCUGGAUUUUCCAGGACUAAUCAACAAUCUUUUGGCCUCUUGUGGGGCCCAGAUUUUACAGAUGAGUUUUUAAAGAACUCAAAUUUGAAGUUAAUUAUCAGGGGACAUGAAGGUCCUGAUGUAAGAAAAGGCCAGCUUGGCCUCGGAGGAAUAGAUGAAGGGUACACCAUUGAUCAUGAUGUGGAAGCUGGAAGACUAAUUACAGUAUUUAGUGCCCCAGAUUAUCCACAGUUCCAGCAGGCGAAAGAGGCCAGGUACCUGAAUAAGGGAGCAUAUGUUGUUUUGGACCACCCUGACUUUGAUGCUCCCUCUGUACGGAUAUUUGAAGCAGUCACUCCAAGACCCAAGGUUCUACUUCACUGACAGGCAAAUGCUUACUAUGAUUACAAAAAUGUCGCUGGUUCAAGUGAGGAAGGGAAUUUAGCGAGUAGCUCGCAUGAAGAUUUGGACUUGGCUGGUGGUUCUGAUGAAGAAAUAAAUUGCCCUCAUUAAUGUUAGUUUGGAGGACCUUCUCCACAAGAAAUUUGCAAGCAUAAGUCAAGAAGAAGUGGACACUGGUGGCAGCAGUGCCCCAUUUGAUAGCUUAUGAAGAAACAAAUCCUGUUAAGAGUAGUUCCAGUAUUUGCUAUUUCAGCCUUUGCCUUUUGGGUUAUAUGCCUGUAACUUGUGUGAACAAGUGUUACUGGAACUUCACUGGCUUUCAAGAACCGGAGAAAAAGAGGCAAGGUAUGGAAUUUUUGGUAGCAAAAAGAGUAUUCCAGCCUUGAUUUGAUGGAAGUUAUCAGUUUGCACGGGCGUCAGUACCUAUUGGAGUUUCUCUCUCUAGGCGUGCAAAACAACAGAGCCUCUGCUCCUCUGACGCUGGAGUAAGGAAUUGUCCACGUCGCCUGAUUCUUUCCAACACCCAAUUAAGAUUUGGGUAAAUGAAGCUGAGAGACAGUCCACCAGUGCAGCAUUUCGUUCCUGCCUUGCUUCUAACUGGAUUUCUGCAAGAAUAGAAAUAGUAAAGGUGGUUGUACAUUUAUUACGGUUCACUAACCUUCUGCAUAAGCUGUUUCUGGCAGCAUUUGGUUCCUGUAUUGCUACAUAACCGGAUUUCUGCAAUAAGCGUUCCUAGCCUUCUGCAUAAGCUGUUUCUGGCAGAUUCUGUGACUUUGUUUAGUAAAAUUAUGAAGUUGCUGCCUAUUGAUUGUGACAGCUUAUAAAAAAUCUUACCCCCCGGCCAUCUUCUGUACCUCAUCCUGAUAUUUAAGUAUGACCUUAUUAACCAUCAA